UAUGAAGGGCUCAGGGUUGAAAUGCCGCCAACUCGGUCAGGUUUGGAAAAAAGCAGCCGUAACGGUUUUUUCAAGGUCUGAGUUCCUUCGCCUCU
RNAcentral lists this signal recognition particle RNA (95 nucleotides) under Alphaproteobacteria bacterium. RNAcentral's name for it is "signal recognition particle sRNA small type". It matches the Rfam family "Bacterial small signal recognition particle RNA". From Rfam's summary of the family: The signal recognition particle (SRP) is a universally conserved ribonucleoprotein involved in the co-translational targeting of proteins to membranes. Archaeal SRP consists of a 7S RNA and homologues of the eukaryotic SRP19 and SRP54 proteins. The record is from RNAcentral. Lineage: Bacteria; Pseudomonadati; Pseudomonadota; Alphaproteobacteria.